ACCGGCGAACGGGUGCGUAACACGUGAGCAAUCUGCCGAUUUGAGGGGGAUAGCCGGCCCAACGGCCGGGUAAUACCGCAUACGCUGAGAGAGUGGAGUCACUCUGUCAGGAAACCUUUUGGGCAAAUCGAGGAGCUCGCGGCCUAUCAGCUAGUUGGCGGGGUAAUGGCCCACCAAGGCGACGACGGGUAGCUGGUCUGAGAGGAUGGCCAGCCACAUUGGGACUGAGAGACGGCCCAGACUCCUACGGGAGGCAGCAGUGGGGAAUCUUGCGCAAUGGCCGAAAGGCUGACGCAGCGACGCCGCGUGGGGGAUGAAGGGUUUCGGCUCGUAAACCCCUGUUGCCCGGGACGAAUCCUAGGUUUCGACCUAGUUGACGGUACCGGGUGAGGAAGCACCGGCUAACUCCGUGCCAGCAGCCGCGGUAAUACGGAGGGUGCGAGCGUUGUCCGGAAUCACUGGGCGUAAAGGGCGCGUAGGCGGCUUGGGAAGUCCGUGGUGAAAGCUCGUGGCUCAACUGCGAGUCGGCCAAGGAUACUCUCGAGCUCGAGCACUGUAGAGGCAGGUGGAAUUCCGGGUGUAGCGGUGGAAUGCGUAGAGAUCCGGAAGAACACCGGUGGCGAAGGCGGCCUGCUGGGCAGUAGCUGACGCUGAGGCGCGACAGCGUGGGGGAGCAAACAGGAUUAGAUACCCUGGUAGUCCACGCCGU
Molecule: ribosomal RNA, 709 nt
Filed under: uncultured Gemmatimonadales bacterium
Lineage: Bacteria; Pseudomonadati; Gemmatimonadota; Gemmatimonadia; Gemmatimonadales
Description: bacterial SSU rRNA
Rfam family: Bacterial small subunit ribosomal RNA
Source: RNAcentral